RNA transcript from Carlito syrichta (Philippine tarsier), 1059 nucleotides. It is a transcript of the gene named protein FAM49B pseudogene, with no coding region annotated. Lineage: Eukaryota; Metazoa; Chordata; Mammalia; Primates; Tarsiidae. The transcript has a single exon. The record is from RefSeq and is a predicted model, not a curated record.
AUGCAGAAAGCAUCUUGGAAGACUUGCAGUCAUACCGAGGAGCUGGCCAUGAAAUACGAGAGGCAAUCCAGCAUCCCGUAGAUGAGAAGUUGAAGGAGAAGGCGUGGGGUGCAGUUGUACCACUAGUAGGCAAAUUAAAGAAAUUUUAUGAAUUUUCUCAGAGGUUAGAAGCAGCAUUAAGAGGUCUUUUGGGAGCCUUGACAAGCACGCCCUACUCUCCCACCCAGCACCUAGAGCAAGAGCAAGCUCUUGCUAAACAGUUUGCAGAAAUUCUUCAUUUCACACUCCGGUUUGACGAACUCAAGAUGACAGAUCCUGCCAUACAGAAUGAUUUCAGCUAUUAUAGAAGAACAUUGAGUCGUAUGAGGAUUAAUAAUGUACCAGUAGAAGGAGAAUAUGAAGUAAAUAAUGAGUUGGCAAACCGAAUAUCUUUGUUUUAUGCUGAGGCGACUCCAAUGCUGAAAACCUUGAGUGAUGCCACCACGAAAUUUGUAUCCGAGAAUAAAAAUUUACCGAUAGAAAAUACGACCGACUGUUUAAGCACCAUGGCUAGUGUAUGCAGAGUCAUAAUGGAAACACCGGAAUGCAGAAACAGGUUUGCAAACGAGACAGUGUCGUUCUGCUUGAGGGUGAUGGUGGGCAUCAUGAUACUCUAUGAUCACAUGCAUCCAGUGGGAGCAUUUGCCAAAACUUCCAAAAUCAAUAUGAAAGGUUGUAUCAAAGUUCUUAAGGACCAGCCUCCCAACAGUGUAGAAGGUCUUCUAAAUGCUCUCAGGUACACAGCAAAACAUUUGAAUGAUGAGACUACCUCCAAGCAAAUUAAAUCCAUGCUGCAAUAACAGUUCUGGAAUAAGCACCUGCUGGAGACAGAAGACAGUAUUCUGCAAUGACUGAGAAGGCACAGUUUUUUAGUGAUUGCAAUUCCUAUCUCAUUUAUUCUUGCUUUUCUUUCUUUCCUCUGUUCCUCUUCCCUCUUUUUUAAUCAUGUUCUUGUUCUUAAGACUUCUUUUCUGUGCCAAAAUCAGUAAAGUUUCACUCUGAAGUGUCCUUGGAUCUUGU